GUCGAACGCUGGCGGCGUGCUUAACACAUGCAAGUCGAGCGAUGAACCCGGAGCUUGCUCCGGCGGAUUAGUGGCGAACGGGUGAGUAACACGUGAGUAACCUGCCCUUGACUCUGGGAUAACUGCGGGAAACUGUAGCUAAUACCGGAUACGACCCUCGGCGGCAUCGCCAGGGGCUGGAAAGAAUUUCGGUCAAGGAUGGACUCGCGGCCUAUCAGCUAGUUGGUGAGGUGGCGGCUCACCAAGGCGACGACGGGUAGCCGGCCUGAGAGGGUGACCGGCCACAAUGGGACUGAGACACGGCCCAGACUCCUACGGGAGGCAGCAGUGGGGAAUAUUGCACAAUGGGCGCAAGCCUGAUGCAGCAACGCCGCGUGAGGGAUGACGGCCUUCGGGUUGUAAACCUCUUUUAGUAGGGAAGAAGCGAAAGUGACGGUACCUGCAGAAAAAGCACCGGCUAACUACGUGCCAGCCGCCGCCGUAA
This 484-nucleotide ribosomal RNA is filed under the name uncultured bacterium. RNAcentral's name for it is "partial 16S ribosomal RNA". It matches the Rfam family "Bacterial small subunit ribosomal RNA", at positions 28 to 523 of the family's 1533-position model. The record is from RNAcentral.